CGGCACGGGUGAGUAACACGUAUCCAACCUGCCGUCUACUCUUGGACAGCCUUCUGAAAGGAAGAUUAAUACAAGAUGGCAUCAUGAGUCCGCAUGUUCACAUGAUUAAAGGUAUUCCGGUAGACGAUGGGGAUGCGUUCCAUUAGAUAGUAGGCGGGGUAACGGCCCACCUAGUCUUCGAUGGAUAAGGGUUCUGAGAGGAAGGUCCCCCACAUUGGAACUGAGACACGGUCCAA
RNAcentral lists this ribosomal RNA (236 nucleotides) under uncultured bacterium. RNAcentral's name for it is "partial 16S ribosomal RNA". It matches the Rfam family "Bacterial small subunit ribosomal RNA", at positions 100 to 334 of the family's 1533-position model. The record is from RNAcentral.